This 253-nucleotide ribosomal RNA is filed under the name uncultured bacterium. Its description in RNAcentral is "partial 16S ribosomal RNA". It matches the Rfam family "Bacterial small subunit ribosomal RNA", at positions 524 to 776 of the family's 1533-position model. The record is from RNAcentral.
UACGUAGGGGGCAAGCGUUAUCCGGAUUUACUGGGUGUAAAGGGGGCGCAGACGGCGAUGCAAGCCAGGAGUGUAAGCCCGGGGCCCAACCCCGGGACUGCUCUUGGAACUGCGUGGCUGGAGUGCAGGAGGGGCAGGCGGAAUUCCUGGUGUAGCGGUGAAAUGCGUAGAUAUCAGGAGGAACACCGGUGGCGAAGGCGGCCUGCUGGACUGCAACUGACGUUGAGGCCCGAAAGCGUGGGGAGCAAACAGG